Molecule: ribosomal RNA, 434 nt
Filed under: uncultured bacterium
Lineage: Bacteria
Description: partial 16S ribosomal RNA
Rfam family: Bacterial small subunit ribosomal RNA
Source: RNAcentral
ACGAACGCUGGCGGCAGGCUUAACACAUGCAAGUCGAACGCAUGCCUUCGGGCAUGAGUGGCAGACGGGUGAGUAACGCGUGGGAACCUACCCCUUGGUACGGGAUAGCUCCGGGAAACUGGAGAUAAUACCGUAUGUGUCCUGAGGGACAAAGAUUCAUCGCCAAGGGAUGGGCCCGCGUCGGAUUAGCUAGUUGGUGGGGUAACGGCCUACCAAGGCGACGAUCCGUAGCUGGUCUAAGAGGAUGAUCAGCCACAUUGGGACUGAGACACGGCCCAAACUCCUACGGGAGGCAGCAGUGGGGAAUAUUGGACAAUGGGCGCAAGCCUGAUCCAGCCAUGCCGCGUGAGUGAUGAAGGCCCUAGGGUUGUAAAGCUCUUUCACCGGUGACGAUAAUGACGGUAACCGGAGAAGAAGCCCCGGCUAACUUCGUG